UGCAAGUCAAACGGUCGACUUUUUGCCCGCAAGGGUAGAGAGAAGGCAGUGGCAGACGGGUGCGUAACGCGUAGGUGACCUACCCUGAAGAGGGGGAUAACUCCGCGAAAGCGGGGCUAAUACCGCAUAAGCUCACGACUUCAGUGUCGGGAGAAAAGGUGCCUGGGGUAACUCAGGUGCCACUUCUGGAUGGGCCUGCGUCCUAUCAGCUUGUUGGCGGGGUAACGGCCCACCAAGGCGGUGAUGGGUAGCUGGUCUKAUGAGAGGACSAGCCGCMCYGCUGCWGCUACGMGGUCCGCCGGACUCCUGSGGGCRGCAGYAGUGAGGMUUCUUCCACRRGCGGCGRAAGSCUGGAGCAGCGCCGCCGCGUGAGGGAAGGAGGCCUUCGUGUUGUCAACYUUCUUCGUAUGAGAMGAGRCUGCUCCGGAGAAUMGCCGGAGUCCAUGACUGUACCAGAGGAAGCAGACACGGCUAACUCUGUGCCAGCAGCCGCGGUAAGACAGAGGUGUCAAGCGUUGCUCGGAAUUACUGGGCGUAAAGCGCGUUUAGGCGGCUUUGUAAGCCAGGUGUGAAAUCUCUGGGCCUAACCCAGAAACUGCGCUUGGGACUGCGAGGCUAGAGAUGGGGAGAGGAAAAUGGAAUUUCCGGUGUAGCGGUGAAAUGCGUAGAUAUCGGAAGGAACACCUGUGGCGAAGGCGAUUUUCUGGUCCCAUUCUGACGCUGUCACGCGAAAGCUAGGGGAGCAAACGGGAUUAGAUACCCCGGUAGUCCUAGCCGUAAACGAUGCGAACUAGGUGUGGGAGGGUCAUCCCCUUCUGUGCCGCAGCUCACGCAGAAGUUCGCCGCCUGGGGAGUACGGCCGCAAGG
RNAcentral lists this ribosomal RNA (867 nucleotides) under uncultured bacterium. RNAcentral describes it as "partial 16S ribosomal RNA". It matches the Rfam family "Bacterial small subunit ribosomal RNA", at positions 56 to 893 of the family's 1533-position model. The record is from RNAcentral.